This 157-nucleotide ribosomal RNA is filed under the name Ascochyta medicaginicola var. medicaginicola. RNAcentral's name for it is "5.8S ribosomal RNA". It matches the Rfam family "5.8S ribosomal RNA". Rfam says of the family: 5.8S ribosomal RNA (5.8S rRNA) is a component of the large subunit of the eukaryotic ribosome. It is transcribed by RNA polymerase I as part of the 45S precursor that also contains 18S and 28S rRNA. The record is from RNAcentral. Lineage: Eukaryota; Fungi; Ascomycota; Dothideomycetes; Pleosporales; Didymellaceae.
UCAACAACGGAUCUCUUGGUUCUGGCAUCGAUGAAGAACGCAGCGAAAUGCGAUAAGUAGUGUGAAUUGCAGAAUUCAGUGAAUCAUCGAAUCUUUGAACGCACAUUGCGCCCCUUGGUAUUCCAUGGGGCAUGCCUGUUCGAGCGUCAUUUGUACC